Cotesia glomerata is the source of this 1130-nucleotide long non-coding RNA. RefSeq lists it as uncharacterized. Lineage: Eukaryota; Metazoa; Arthropoda; Insecta; Hymenoptera; Braconidae. The transcript is spliced from 4 exons. The record is from RefSeq and is a predicted model, not a curated record.
ACGGAUAUGUAAUUACGGUGCCACGCGCUCGUUUUCUUGCUUGCUUUUAUACUUACAUACAUAAAUACAUUAAUCCACACAAACAUACAUCCUCACAAUAUAAUACAUAUUAAUUCGCCUGGACUGUGUUCUUGCCUCGAGAAGAAAAGAUUUUAUGAGGAAGAAUACAGAAGAGGAGGGUAAAAGGGCAUCACGCGUAUGUAUCCUGCAUAAGCUGAGGUCAUCCCGAGGUAGUUUUACCGCCCACACACGUCCUCUUCUUUUAUCUUCCAUUUUCAUUGCCAACUUCCUUUAUGUAUGUAUAUUCAUGUAUAAAUAGGUAUGUAUGUAUUAAUGCAUAUAUGCACCUUUUGAAUACAUCCGGUCAACAUUUAGACAACUAAUGUUUGUCUGGCAGGCUUGUUUGACGCACAGGACGACAGAGGACAACAGGAAGUUAAAUAAAACCAGGCAAAUGAUGUGGGUUUUACACGAUUAGCAUAAUCUUUUUAUUUUUCUUCUGUCUUAUUGUCAUUAUCACUAUCACCGUCCAAUACGAUUGUAUAUUAUCACACGAGCAUAAAAAAGCAUAUUAUACACCGAUAAAAGUGUCCUAGAAUACUGAUGUGGACUCAACAUUGCUUGAUAGUCAUAAAAGUGACUCACUUGAUGACUAUAAUAAGCUUUUGGAUGAGUUUCAGCUGGCUGAUGACAUGAUCGUGUCAGUGUAUCCCAGCAAGAUACCAGGGGACUAUUGCGCCAGUCUGACCGAGUUGCAUAGCCAUACAAUCCGAGGCAAGAUAUCGAGACCUUUUUUGAUCGAGAGGUCUCCAAGACUUUGGAGGACGUAGUCUUGUGGUAUUAUACAUAUAAUAAAAAUAACUACACACAUCGGUAAUAUAAUAUAUGUGUAGUAUGUCUAAUCAAUUUUGUAACCCCGGCGAUUGUAAAAUCAUUGAAGAAUGUGGCUCGGCAGAUUUUAGGUGGAUUACGACCGGAUGUGCUCACACGUUUGCUGUAGAUCAAGAUACAUCAGCUACCCAUACAAUAUACUUGUAUAUAAAUGUAUAGAAUACAUGUUUAAAUCUCAAGCGUGUGUAUAAACGCAAAAGGUAGUGAGUUAAAAAUUGCGUCACUUUACCCAGAGUGUA